CGCCUUGCCAGCCCGCUCAGAAACUUAAAGGAAUUGACGGGGCCCGCACAAGCGGAGGAGCAUGUGGUUUAAUUCGAUGAUACGCGAGGAACCUUACCUGGGCUCGAACGUAAGAUGACUGUAGGUGAAAGCUUACAUCUCUUCGGAGCAUUUUACGAGGUGCUGCAUGGUUGUCGUCAGCUCGUGCCGUGAGGUGUCGGGUUAAGUCCCAUAACGAGCGCAACCCCUACCUUUAGUUGCCAUCAGGUUAAGCUGGGGACUCUAAAGGAACUGCCUACGCAAGUAGUGAGGAAGGCGGGGAUGACGUCAAAUCAGCACGGCCCUUACGUCCAGGGCUACACACGUGCUACAAUGGCCGAUACAGAGGGCAGCUACCUGGUGACAGGAUGCAAAUCUCCAAAGUCGGUCUCAGUUCGGAUCGGAGUCUGCAACCCGACUCCGUGAAGUUGGAUUCGCUGGUAAUCGCGCAUCAGCCAUGGCGCGGUGAAUACGUUCCCGGGCCUU
RNAcentral lists this ribosomal RNA (504 nucleotides) under uncultured Sphingobacteriales bacterium. RNAcentral's name for it is "bacterial SSU rRNA". It matches the Rfam family "Bacterial small subunit ribosomal RNA", at positions 903 to 1382 of the family's 1533-position model. Lineage: Bacteria; Pseudomonadati; Bacteroidota; Sphingobacteriia; Sphingobacteriales. The record is from RNAcentral.